AAUAGUUAUCUUUUAAUCUCUUAAGCCUAAUUGUAGCUAAUAAGGAUUCAGCUGUUUUGAUUAUGUUUGUUAUUAUAUAAUGGUAAUGAACUGUGCUUACAGCCUAAGAGUCUCCUGGGAAAUAACACCACACCAGUUCUACUGAAACAAGUCAAUCAGAAGCUAUUUUAGUGCUGACGUCCCAGAGAAUUACCAGCAACAUCAACAUGGCGCCCCCUGCUGAAGACUAUUAUUGCCGCCAGUUCCUGCCCAACACCUUUGACCCCUCCCGCUGCAGGUCCUGCCUGCGGCCCAAUCACAUGCACCUCAGUAAAUCGACUGGAGAAUACGCAGAUGCUGCAGCUUUGGACAUUCCACAUGAGCUGGUACGUGCAUUACAGUUGUGAAAUCAGCCUAAUUAGCAUUUUAGCAAACCAAGGUUAGGCAUAAAAAACAAAGAAAUCUCUUGAGGAAAAGUAAGAAAUGAUGACCAUUUAUCAAACCUAAUUACUGUACAGUGUAAAUUUUGGGGGCUAUUCUAAAGCUGUGAGAGAAUUUACCGAGUCCUUCCCUGCUGCAUCACUAUUGGUGUUUUCUUCUCCUACAGUAUGUCAUGAACGUAUUCACACCCCUUCCACAGUUUAUUUUUCUACUACAAAUAUUUUAUGCAUUUUAAUAUGAUUUUAUUUGAUAGAAAACACAAUUUUUUGGAAGGAAAACAGUACAUGGGCUCUCAAUUUUUAUUUUAUGAAUAAAAUUUUCCUCAUGGCAUGAUCCUUAUGCACCACUAUAGUUUAUGCAAUUUAUGUCUUUCUUUCAUCAGUGGCUUUCUACUUGCCACCCUUUCAUAAAGACAAAUUUUCCUAAGAGUUGAAUACAAACGCAUGCCAAACUUUUCAGAUUUUAAAUUUUAAAAAGCAUGUAUCAUUUUCUUUCUAUUUCAAAAUUAUGCAACAGUUUGUAUUAGUCUCUCACUAUAAAUCCCAUUACGUUUCCAACUUUAUUGUAACAAAAUAUGAGCACGUGAAUGCAGAAUGUUAUUUUUGCAAGGUACCAUUAGUUUAAAAUCUGAAUAUGUCUUAGACUUUCUAUUGGCUGGUUUCUCAGAAAUGAACCUGACCUUAGACAGUUCCCUGUGGUUACUACUUAAUGCAUCUUUUAUUAAUUAGUACCGGGUACUUUUCAGUGACGUUACUUUUGUUAUACAUGCACAUGUUCUUUGUAGCUGUGGUUUCUCAGUUCUCUGGGCAGUGGGAGGGCUUCGCUCUAUCUGAAUGUGUGAAAGCUCUUUUCUUCUCUUCUCCUUUUUCUCUUUCUCUUCUCGUAAGUUCUUCUUUCCCUUUAAACGUUUUACCCCAUCUCUCUACCUUUCUUUUAUUUUCCUAUUUCUUCGCCGUCUGCUGUCUAUUGCAUUUGAAAAGCAUUUUCUAAUAAAGUUUUUAUAGAUAUAUCAAGAUACCUGAUGCUGAAAGCCGUUACACUCCACUUGUGAAAAUAAAUCUGCUGGCUUCUCCUUGGCACUCAGACAACAAUUGUGAGUGCCACACUGCCAGACAGACCACAUAAAUAAAAAUCUUCGUGGUUUUGGCUACGCUUAAUAUAUUACUUGGUUCUAUUUGAUAUCAAAUUCUAUUUUAGAAUACAGAUCCAAUUUAGCAAGCAUUUUAAAGUACGGUAGUUUCAAUAUUUUGCUUGCACUCUUUGGCAGGUCCGGUACUUGCCCUUCUGAGGCUUCAAGCUUUGUACAAAAAUAUUUUUGCAGCAUCAAUAUGCUCCUGAGAAAAUAAAACAUAAUGCAUAUACCUUGCUGACAACUGUCAAAACUGCAGUCUCUUAUAGCUGAAGCUUUUGACCAUUCAAAACCAUUACAACUGUUACAAGCUAAACUGUAAGAUGAUUCCAUUGAACCAAACAUUUACUUCCUCUUUAAGAACUUGCACUCAAUGAUCUUGUAAACUUUAUUACAAUCUUGGAGCUUUUUUAGUACUUCUUUAGUUUUUGCUCUAUGUGAUCUUGCUGUUUACUGUAACUCAAGCAUUACAACAUAUUGACAAUGACAACAUAUUGACACCAAACGGUGUCAAUAUGUUCUUUUCUUAAGCAGCGCUAUAUUCAGGUUGUGGCUGAUCAACUUUGCAUAUGGCUAAUUGAAUUUGCUGACAGUUAGCCACAGUGGUUAAACAAAUUGAGCCUGAGAGAGAACUCUGCAUUGGAAUUUUUUUUUAUCAAUGUAUAUCUGAAAAAUGAGUGAAUUGUAAGAGUUCCAUUUUUUACCUAUUUUAAUAUCAUAUUUAGCUGAAUUUUAUUUAUCUUUUUUUUUAAUGUAUGACUUCAGUUUUGAAAUACAUCCACAAUCCAUAGUGUCAAUAUGUUGACUUUGGUGUUAGCUUCUCAGACCUUCUUGUGUUUUAAUAUGAAUUUUUGAAAUCAGAACAUUGUAAGUGGUUGAAGCUUCUCAAAAAAAAAGUAUCUGGCAUUCAUUGUGAUAUGCAAUAAAUGCAUGCACCAUUAGCAUGUUUCAGAGUUAAUAUCAAGUAAAAUAAUAAAGUAAUUUCCAAGGAAGUGUGAGACACAAUGUUCUACCAUUUGUAUUGUAUGAUUAUGCCAGUCAAUAAAGUAAAACCUAAGGUGGAGGUGACAGACAGAUAGCACAUCAAUGUGGCAUUUGAUUCUUUUAUCAUUAAUUAAUGAAAGCUUGCUGCAGUCCUUGGGGAAUGGGUGGAAAUCUGAUAGGCACUGUCACUAACACCCUGCAGUAGCACAACCCCACUGGUUAAAAUAACCUGUAGAGUAGAACAUGCCAAGGAAUCCUAUAGUGACAACAUUUACAUUAAAUUAGGCUUUAUUGUGUUUUUAGAAACAAAAGAGAUUGGGUCUGACAUUCAUACACCUGCAUCCAAUUUGGAGAGAAUCUAAAGGACAAAUAAAGUGUAUUAUCUGUGUUAAUGAUAGGUCAAACUUAUGAUUGGGAUCAAGAAAAAACCAAAAAGCUUCCAAAUGGGUGGCGCUGGUAAUGCAAAGGCACUAGAGCAAUGAAAUAAUGAUGAGCAUGAACACAGACUAGCUUGAGUUACGUCCUGUAGCUAUAGUGAAUGAAGAGGUGAAGGUAGAAGGAGCUGAACAGCAGAAUCUUGACAGCAGAUUUCACAAAAGGAUCUUUCCUGUCACGGUGAGUGAAAGAUUUCUUGAUAGACUUUACUUAAAAUUUCCUACAGAGAUAUGUGUGUUGAGUUUACUUUUAAGGGCUUGUUCUUUGAAGACUCCAGCUUUUUAAUUUAGUCACAUGGCGCAGGAUUCAUGUAAAAUUGACAAAAUAGACAAAUAAAAAUAUCAUUUUUAUUCCUUAUUUUAAAAAAGCUAGUUACAUUACAGCUCAAACUGUUUCAAUCAGGUUAUGUAUCUCACAAUAUUGCUGUAAUCCCAGUCUUUGUUUAAUUUAACCUUUGACUCAAUCAUUUUGCAAGUAAUCCAGAUGCUUAUAUUUAAUAUUUUGUUCCUUUCGUCUACAAACCAGGAUGUAGGUGACACUAAUGAUGAUGAUCAGGAUGAUUAUGAGGAUCUAGUGCUGUCUGAGGUGACAACAUGUGCCAGCAGUGAUGACGCCAGUGGUUGUUGGACGUUUGAGUGGAAUCUUGAACGCAGCCUGAGUCCUGAGUGGGAACUUGAGAAUUGUGAAACUGACAUUCAACCUAGCUAUUCAAAUCAGUGGGAGUGUUCAGAGAGGAGCACAUCCCUCAGCCCACAGAGCCCUCCUGCAGGCCAAACAGAAAUGACCAGACUGGACCUAUCUUCCCCGAGAGACACUGAAAACUCCUGGAUGGAUGAAAGGAGAGGAAGAGACAUGUCCCGCCGGGCUUCAGAGUCCAGAGGAGGCAGGGAGAAAGAAAGUGGCUACUUUUCCCCUGACAGAAGAGGUGACGGUGUGCAGCAGAUGGAUGAGGACAACAAGCGUACCCAUCGCUAUUAUGAGAGGGGACAUCCCCUGCCAAGCAACUAUGUGCUCGAGCCCAAAGCUUGCGUCCCCUACAGGAAUGUCAGCCUUGGACUGCCGUCCCAAAGAAGAAACCCAGAGACCUAUAUGCAGGCAACUUGGAGAAGUGAGUCCCCACAGAGGUACACAUACCACUCAAACUUCAGAAGAGGUACAGACUCCGAGAGGAAUUCUCCAACACGUCAUAGCUCUUUGAGUCCAGAUCGCUACAGGUUACCUGAGUCUGCCAUGGGACCUCAGAGAGGGAGCUCCCUCUGUAGGAGUCAGGCUCGGUCUCGUGCCUCAUUGCAGGGCUCUCUCCAAAUUCAGUCUAAUGGUGCUUCACGCCACACAUCUGGCAGGUCCAGUCCUUUACGCAGAAGGGAUUCCACAGCUCCUCGUAAUGCCUCAGCACACAGACGGGCAGACUCAUUUCCGUUACACAGUGCUGGCUAUGAAGACCUUAAGAUGUCCAGCCAAGAGUCAAGGAGUCCGUCACAAGCUUCAAAUAAACACAGUUUGGAUUCUGAGAAACUCUACAGAAAUCUUGAGUCUAUUUCCCGCCGUAGUUCUUCUGCAGUCAAGCAGAACUCAUACGAAGCGUCUCCUCGAAGCAGAACAGCUGUUAGCAGUCUGGCCAACACUCUGUCCCACAACAGCCGUGAAGUGUCACCAUCCAGGAAUGGCUACAGUCCACAGAGUCACGCCUCAUUAAGAGAGCCCGAUUCAAGAGACAGCAGGAUGAGUAGAUCCCAAAGUUCCUGGCAAGGGUCUUCACACUCUUUACUCAAUCUCCCAUCGUCACAUGGUUCCUCUUCAUUGAGACAGCAAGGGGCAGGCUCCCAGAUUCUAGUUGGGUCGCCCUCAAACAUUGCAGUCACAGACGGUAAUGAUGGGGUUGCUUCUUGGCAGGGGUCUUCACACUCUUUACUCGGCCGCCCCCCAUCACAAGCUUCCUCUUUAUCGAGACAGAGAGCAGACUCUCGGGUCCUUGGAGGAUCACCCUCACAAUUUGCAGUCACAGACUCUGAUAAGGUUAAUGAGGGAUUCGGCUCCUCGCAUGGGUCUUCACCCUCUUUACUCAGUCGCCCGCCAUCACAAGGCUCCAAUUCAUUGAGACAGGCAACGGACCUUCAGAUUGGUGGAUCACCUUUGCAAGCUGUGGCAACAGAUGCUGCAAAUGCUAAUAAUGGUGUAACUAAAGUCAGCUCUGACAGAAGUAAGAGCAUUGUCAGACGAGGAAUGGAUGCCCUGUUGCUCUCCGAACCGGAAAAAGCUGUAGUAGAACCUGAAGAGGUUGGGAUGACCAUAGAUGACUACAUCAUGCUGGCUGAUAUACCAAAGAUUCAGGUGGAGUCAGAAGAAGAAUUUCCAGGGCUGAGACGGAGAAAUGAGAGUCCUAGUCCCUGCAGAGACCAGAGACAAAGAUCAUACAGGUAUCAAGAUGAAACAGACAUGUAUAGUUCAAGGAUAGAGCCAGACGAGAGGAGGAGGGGCAGAGAGAGAGGGAGAGACAGACGAGAAAAAUGUCGGGACCUUGAAACUGGACGAUUGUCUCAGAGACAAUCUGCCAUUUCUCUUCAUACACAGACAUCAGAUCUAAGUGAAAAAAACAGAUCUUUGAGAAAGAAGGACCGAGCGCACCCUGAGCGCUCGCAGACACAGAUGGUGUUUUCUAAAGGGCUGGAUGUCCAGGCUGGAUGAGCAAGGCAAAUGGAUGAAGCACUGGUUUGUUCUUGGUGACACUUCACUGAGGUACUACAGAGACUCGGAGGCUGAGGAGUCAGAUGAUUUGGAUGGAGAGAUUGAUCUGACGUCCUGUGUGAAGGUG
Molecule: RNA transcript, 5780 nt
Organism: Xiphophorus hellerii (green swordtail)
Lineage: Eukaryota; Metazoa; Chordata; Actinopteri; Cyprinodontiformes; Poeciliidae
Gene name: TRIO and F-actin-binding protein-like
Exons: 9
Source: RefSeq, a predicted model, not a curated record